RNAcentral lists this ribosomal RNA (506 nucleotides) under uncultured Actinomycetes bacterium. RNAcentral describes it as "bacterial SSU rRNA". It matches the Rfam family "Bacterial small subunit ribosomal RNA", at positions 209 to 733 of the family's 1533-position model. The record is from RNAcentral. Lineage: Bacteria; Bacillati; Actinomycetota; Actinomycetes.
GCUUUCGCGGUGAGAGAUGGGGUCGCGGCCCAUUAGGUAGUUGGUGGGGUAGAGGCCUACCAAGCCGAUGAUGGGUAGCCGGGUUGAGAGACCGACCGGCCACAUUGGGACUGAGAUACGGCCCAGACUCCUACGGGAGGCAGCAGUGGGGAAUUUUGCGCAAUGGGCGAAAGCCUGACGCAGCAACGCCGCGUGCGGGAUGACGGCCUUCGGGUUGUAAACCGCUUUCAGUGGGAAAGAUAAUGACGGUACCCACACAAGAAGCUCCGGCUAAAUACGUGCCAGCAGCCGCGGUAAUACGUAUGGAGCAAGCGUUAUCCGGAUUUAUUGGGCGUAAAGCGCGCGUAGGCGGCUUGUUAAGCAAGGUCUUAAAUCUUGGGGCUCAACCUCAAGCCGGAUCUUGAACUGGCAGGCUCGAGUAUGGUAGAGGAAAGUGGAAUUCCCAGUGUAGCGGUGGAAUGCGCAGAUAUUGGGAAGAACACCGAUGGCGAAGGCAGCUUUCUGGG